GCUCGCGUGGCCCAAUGGAAAGGCGUCCGCCUCCUAAGCGGAAGAUUGUGGGUUCGAUCCCCACCGUGAGCG
This is a transfer RNA of Acanthamoeba castellanii str. Neff, 72 nucleotides long. It matches the Rfam family "tRNA". From Rfam's summary of the family: Transfer RNA (tRNA) molecules are approximately 80 nucleotides in length. Their secondary structure includes four short double-helical elements and three loops (D, anti-codon, and T loops). NCBI's taxonomy places the organism in Eukaryota, Discosea, Longamoebia, Acanthamoebidae. The record is from Rfam.